Long non-coding RNA from Mus musculus (house mouse), 254 nucleotides. RefSeq annotates it as predicted gene, 33061. The transcript has 2 exons. Lineage: Eukaryota; Metazoa; Chordata; Mammalia; Rodentia; Muridae. The record is from RefSeq and is a predicted model, not a curated record.
CACGCACGCCUUCCUUCACCGUAGGACACCCAUCCUUUGCCGUUCUUCCACUUACCACGGUGACUAACUGUGUGGGGAGGCACAGAGGAGGAACAGUCAGGAGCUCACAGAUGACGGGGCCUCAUGCCUACCCAUCAAACACCAGCCCAGGGCCCGUUCCUGUCCCCAGGGCACCUUGAGACCAGCCGCAAGCUUUGCAGUGGGGAGUCUGGCUUUCCUCUCCAGGAAAUGAAGUGACCUCCUUUCUCUUCCCA